RNAcentral lists this ribosomal RNA (497 nucleotides) under uncultured bacterium. RNAcentral's name for it is "partial 16S ribosomal RNA". It matches the Rfam family "Bacterial small subunit ribosomal RNA", at positions 28 to 507 of the family's 1533-position model. The record is from RNAcentral.
GAUGAACGCUGGCGGCGUGCCUAAUACAUGCAAGUCGAGCGAACAGAUAAGGAGCUUGCUCCUUUGACGUUAGCGGCGGACGGGUGAGUAACACGUGGGUAACCUACCUAUAAGACUGGGAUAACUUCGGGAAACCGGAGCUAAUACCGGAUAACAUUUGGAACCGCAUGGUUCUAAAGUGAAAGAUGGUUUUGCUAUCACUUAUAGAUGGACCCGCGCCGUAUUAGCUAGUUGGUAAGGUAACGGCUUACCAAGGCAACGAUACGUAGCCGACCUGAGAGGGUGAUCGGCCACACUGGAACUGAGACACGGUCCAGACUACUACGGGAGGCAGCAGUAGGGAAUCUUCCGCAAUGGGCGAAAGCCUGACGGAGCAACGCCGCGUGAGUGAUGAAGGGUUUCGGCUCGUAAAACUCUGUUAUUAGGGAAGAACAAAUGUGUAAGUAACUGUGCACGUCUUGACGGUACCUAAUCAGAAAGCCACGGCUAACUACGUG